GACGAACGCUGGCGGCGUGCUUAACACAUGCAAGUCGAACGAAGAGCGAUGGAAGCUUGCUUCAAUCAAUCUUAGUGGCGAACGGGUGAGUAACGCGUAAUCAACCUGCCCUUCAGAGGGGGACAACAGUUGGAAACGACUGCUAAUACCGCAUACGAUCUAAUCUCGGCAUCGAGGAUAGAUGAAAGGUGGCCUCUACAUGUAAGCUAUCACUGAAGGAGGGGAUUGCGUCUGAUUAGCUAGUUGGAGGGGUAACGGCCCACCAAGGCGAUGAUCAGUAGCCGGUCUGAGAGGAUGAACGGCCACAUUGGGACUGAGACACGGCCCAGACUCCUACGGGAGGCAGCAGUGGGGAAUCUUCCGCAAUGGACGAAAGUCUGACGGAGCAACGCCGCGUGAGUGAUGACGGCCUUCGGGUUGUAAAGCUCUGUUAAUCGGGACGAAAGGCCUUCUUGCGAAUAG
This 462-nucleotide ribosomal RNA is filed under the name Veillonella parvula. Its description in RNAcentral is "bacterial SSU rRNA". It matches the Rfam family "Bacterial small subunit ribosomal RNA", at positions 28 to 466 of the family's 1533-position model. Lineage: Bacteria; Bacillati; Bacillota; Negativicutes; Veillonellales; Veillonellaceae. The record is from RNAcentral.